Paramisgurnus dabryanus is the source of this 589-nucleotide non-coding RNA. The record is from RefSeq and is a predicted model, not a curated record. Lineage: Eukaryota; Metazoa; Chordata; Actinopteri; Cypriniformes; Cobitidae.
AGUUGCCAAUCGCCACUCAGGCCAAAAGCGCAGAAGAACAAAAAUGACCGGGAAAAUCUGACAGGACUGAGAAGAUGACAACAGCACAGCGGGGUUUUAGAAGCCCAUCAGAGUGAUUUUCUGAGUUCUUUCACAUAUGCUGUAUGGUCAGCGAAUGGAUGGAUUAUCCAGUCACGGUACAUAAUAAAAGACUUGACUGAGUUAGAAGAAGCUGAGCGACUCUUCAGAGUGAAGAUGUUAUGAUGCAGUUAUGUCAAAGCACUCGUUUCGGAUGGCCAGAUUGGAACAGAACCUGAAUGGGAAGAUGGCAGAGCUAAGACUGGCAAUUUCCAGGAAAAAUGUUUACUAAAAAUGAGUGUGUUUUUCCCCAGCGAGAGAGUUUGGGAAUGUUUUAAAUGUGUCUAGAAGUUUGAAAAUGUAAUACUGAGGGAAAAAAGUGAGCGCUUUGAAAAGGCUUUAAAAAGAAAAAAAAGUCUGAAGUUGAUGUGAAAUGAAGUUAAAGUUUUUACUUGAAAAGUUUGUACUGUACUUGUUUGUACUUGUCAAGUCUGUGCUGAAAAAAAUGCAGUAAAGGUUGUAUUUGAAAAGA